GAUGAAGAACGCAGUGAAAUGCGAUACGUAAUGUGAAUUGCAGAAUUCAGUGAAUCAUCGAAUCUUUGAACGCAUAUUGCGCUCUUUGGUAUUCCGAAGAGCAUGCUUGUUUGAGUAUCAGUAAACACCUCAACCUCUUCUUGAUUUUUCAAAAGGAGGGUGGACUUGAGCUAUCCCAACAACCUUUACCGGUCGGCGGGCGGCUUGAAAUGCAGGUGCAGCUGGACUUUUAUCUGAGCUAAAAGCAUAUCUAUUUAGUCCUCGUCAAACAGGAUUAUUACUUUUGCUGCAGCUAACAUAAAGGAUAAUUGUCCUCUUUGCUGACUGAUGCAGGAUUUUACGACACUUUAUGUGUUGUUCAACUCGAUCUCAAAUCAAGUAAGACUACCCGCUGAACUUAAGCAUAUCAAUAGCGGAGGA
RNAcentral lists this unclassified non-coding RNA (420 nucleotides) under soil metagenome. Its description in RNAcentral is "partial contains 5.8S ribosomal RNA, internal transcribed spacer 2, and large subunit ribosomal RNA". The stretch from base 1 to 120 matches the Rfam family "5.8S ribosomal RNA", at positions 35 to 154 of the family's 154-position model. The record is from RNAcentral.